RNAcentral lists this ribosomal RNA (329 nucleotides) under uncultured eukaryote. Its description in RNAcentral is "partial 18S ribosomal RNA". It matches the Rfam family "Eukaryotic small subunit ribosomal RNA", at positions 1470 to 1796 of the family's 1831-position model. The record is from RNAcentral.
CCCUUAGAUGUCCUGGGCUGCACGCGCGCUACACUGACGAACUCAACGAGCUUAUCACCUUGGCAGAGAUGUCUGGGUAAUCUUUUGAAAGUUCGUCGUGCUGGGGAUAGAUGAUUGUAAUUAUUCGUCUUGAACGAGGAAUUCCUAGUAAGUGUGAGUCAUCAGCUCGCGCUGAUUACGUCCCUGCCCUUUGCACACACCGCCCGUCGCUCCUACCGAUUGAAUGGUCCGGUGAGGUUCUCGGAUUUUUUCUGUUGUUUGGUUCGCUAAACGAUUGAAGAGAGAAGUUACCCAAACCUUACCAUUUAGAGGAAGGAGAAGUCGUAACA